This is a long non-coding RNA of Talpa occidentalis (Iberian mole), 2867 nucleotides long. RefSeq lists it as uncharacterized. Lineage: Eukaryota; Metazoa; Chordata; Mammalia; Eulipotyphla; Talpidae. The transcript is spliced from 3 exons. The record is from RefSeq and is a predicted model, not a curated record.
GCUGGAAGGGAUCAUGCUCAGUGAAAUAACCCACUAAAUAACUUUAAAUAGCAUCAAGGGUUUUCCUGAUAAUGCUGCUUUGUGAACCAUUUGCCUCCCAAGAAAUGCUCCUAUUUCCUUUCCUUGUAGAAUUGGAUGCAUCACCCUCCCCGCACAACAAUGUGUUCCUACUGGGAAGCUCCUCUGAAUAAUAUCCACAGUCUUUAUUGGGGUUUUACCAUGUUGGCAUGAGGAAUUAAAUCACUGGCCACAUGACUGAACAAAAAGUCAGCUUGUCUUCAAUUCCUGGUGGUCAGACAGCUUGAAGUCCCUGUUCUCUACCCCCAUGCUAAAGGUACCUAGAGGCUAAUUAGUUACUGCCUUACUAUUACAAUGACUCUCCUAUCACCCAGGAAAUCCUUAAGGUCUUUGAAGUUCAAUGCCAGGAACCCAGCACAAGGACCAGACAAAUUAUUUAUGACACCACAGUCUCCAAUCUGCAUCCCAGCCAGGAAAAAAGAGUCAAGAAGGCCUUAUCCCUUUCCUUUAAGAGCACGAUGGGCAGCUAUACAGGCUGCUCCACUUCUAUCUCAAUUGCCUCCUUGAGCUGCAAGGAGGCUGGGAAUGUAGGUCUUUACCUUGACAGCUAACAACUGAAAACAUACUAUUUUUAAGAAAGAAGGGAAGAUUGACUAUUCAAUAGGCAACCGGUUGUAUUUAAAAUAUGCAUAGAACUCACUCAAAAGAAUAGAGAAAAACACAAAAGGAAGAAAGAACUUUUUUCACUGCAGUCUCUGUGGAAGUUGAGAUGUCGAGGAACCACUAAACCACUAGUGUGGCUGUGAGCAGUUUCUAUGGCAACCAAUGCCAGUGUCCUGGACCCCAACCAUGAAAUUUGGCAGUGGCAACUAGUAGUAGAGCUGAGUGUGUCUAUAUCAGAGACAGGGUUACUGUGUGUGGUAUCUGCAGCGUCAGCAGAGAUCACCCCAGUAGACAGCAGGGAAAAGACAAUGGCAAACAUCUCAUGGAACAACUAGAAGGAAUGGGCUGCUGCCUGAGUGAAAGGCUUUGCAGCUGGGUAGGCAGAACCCAAUAAAACAGCCCCAUCACUGACAAAAAACUUCCCUCAGAGGGGUGAAGAUGGAGUCUAAGAACCAAUGAUUUGUGAUCGUUAUUAGGAUAUUUUUACUCUGAGGCCAUGUGGCCACAGAAAUCUCCAUUUUAGAAUUUUGUUCAAAUGUUCUUGAACAACAGGACUGAACAUUUUAGUGAGUGACUGGUGUCUCGACUGACCCACUUCCCUUUCUUUCAGGAACUGCUCACCCUCACACCCCAAGCGUAACGACAACCACGUCCCUUUGCUCUGACCACCGGGAUGGGUGCGGGCCUCCCCCUGGGAGAGGGCAUUCUCUCCCGUGAACUGGAUUCUUGUGUACAGACCCGCAGGCGCUGACUGUGCGUGCAGCCCAGCCCUAAGGGCAGCCCCUCAAAGCCUCAACUCACAGGCGAUUGGCAGUGCCGGGCCUUCUGCCACCCUGGAGUCUGCUUCUUCAGCUCUUCCUUUGGUUGUGUGUGUUCUCCAGUAUGUAUCUGAAUUUUUAUUUUUUUCCUAUUGCUGCUGUGGAAUCACCACAAACUUAAAGAACCGACAUGGAUGCUCUUGCUGUUUGGGGGUCAUCCAUGUGACGUAAACCUCAUUAGCGUGUCCAUUGGGUCGCUUUUCCUUUUGGAGGCUCUUGGGGAUCAUCCAUUUCCUAACUCAUUUGGGUUGUUGCCAGAAUUCAGUUCUCUGAGGGUAUAGGACUGAAAUCUGUGUUUCCUCUGCUGUUAACUAAGGCCAAUUCCCAGUGCCCAGGGAUCACCCAUGUUUCUUAUGACUUGGCCAUUUCUUACUUCUUACUUCGGUAUUUGCUUAAUGGUAAAAAGAUUUAUAUUUGGAAUUAGCCCAUGGGAUUCCAUUUCGAAGAUCCCUGUUUUGUUGGCAGCAUCCGAAGCGUUAUAGGAGCCAGUUGUACACAUACCUUCAUCUCUCCAUCAGGUCUGAUCAGACCAUUGACCUGGCCAGUCAAUGUCAUAGAGUUUCCUCACAGCUGGUGAGAUCUGGUGCUUGUUGGAUGUUGGGCGUCAUCUGCAAAGAACAGAUCUGCUCAUGUCUUCACUCUUCUUCAUGGCUGACUCAGUCGUCAGGGGAGCUUGACAAAACAGUGGUCAAGACUGUUUUCUCUGGGGGUGCUUUUGUGAGAUAUUUGGCUGCCUUAGGAACUGGAGUGCCCAUUGGAAGAAAGCUAACCUUAAGAAAAAUCACCUGCUUUAAGAGAAACCAACUUAACGUGAUAGUCACCUUUGGAGGCCUGAUUCUUGGGGUCCAGUGUUCUUGUGAAGUGUCUUCAGAUGACUCUCAAGCUGGCAAUGCUGCCUCUCAGCAUCAAUGGUGCGUCUGUAUUAUCCCAACAAAAAUGAAUGCUGGACUUGAACUCUUGAUCCACCAUUGCAUCACUUGAUCACUGCAGCCUUGAAAAGUUGAGAUGGCACAUAUGGGGACAGGGGAUUGGCUUCCCUCAAGUGCCUAUGGGCCGGGGAGUGAAAUCAAAUGGGCCUGGAUUCUGGAAAUCUACAGGACCAGAGAACAACAACAACAUAAGUGAACUUGGCCAGAUCAUUGAAUAUAUGGUCAUUAUAUAAAAGCCAAUUGUAUAUCUAUAAACUGAAGGUGAACUUUCAGAAAAUGAAUUUUUUUGCCAUUUAAAAUAGCAACAUUUAGGGCCUCCCCGGUGGCGCAGCGGUUGAGCGCUGGGUUGCGAGGCUGCCCUCUGCCUCUGCGGCGCCGGUUCGAUUCCCGGCUGCUCCCCGGCCACCGGAGGAGGGUCCCACAUGGCGCGCAGAUCUCU